GAAGUCGGCCGGGCAGCCGCUGUGACGCAAGUCACGGAGGAAAGUCCGGGCUCCACAGGGCAGGGUGCCAGGUAACGCCUGGGGGGCGCGAGCCUACGGAAAGUGCCACAGAAAAUAUACCGCCUGUGUCCGCACAGGUAAGGGUGAAAUGGUGCGGUAAGAGCGCACCGCGCGGCUGGUAACAGCCGUGGCAGGGUAAACCCCACCCGGAGCAAGACCAAAUAGGGGAGCACUGGCGUGGCCCGCGCUGCUCCCGGGUAGGUCGCUUGAGGUGCGCGGCGACGCGUGGCCCAGAUGAAUGGCUGUCCACGACAGAACCCGGCUUACAGGCCGGCUUCCUCU
Molecule: RNase P RNA, 342 nt
Filed under: Gammaproteobacteria bacterium
Lineage: Bacteria; Pseudomonadati; Pseudomonadota; Gammaproteobacteria
Description: RNase P RNA component class A
Rfam family: Bacterial RNase P class A
About the family: Ribonuclease P (RNase P) is a ubiquitous endoribonuclease, found in archaea, bacteria and eukarya as well as chloroplasts and mitochondria. Its best characterised activity is the generation of mature 5'-ends of tRNAs by cleaving the 5'-leader elements of precursor-tRNAs.
Source: RNAcentral